GGGACACCCGCUGAGUUUAAGCAUAUCAAUAAGCGGAGGAGAAGAAACUUACGAGGAUUCCCUUAGUAACGGCGAGCGAACCGGGAUCGGCCCAGCUUGAGAAUCGGACGGCCGCGCCGUUCGAAUUGUAGUCUGUAGAAGCGUCCUCAGCGACGGACCGGGCCCAAGUCCACUGGAAGGUGGCGCCGGAGAGGGUGAGAGCCCCGUCGUGCCCGGACCCUGCCGCAUCACGAGGCGCUGUCGGCGAGUCGGGUUGUUUGGGAAUGCAGCCCCAAUUGGGCGGUAAAUUCCGUCCAAGGCUAAAUACUGGCGAGAGACCGAUAGCGAACAAGUACCGCGAGGGAAAGGUGAAAAGGACUUUGAAAAGAGAGUCAAAGAGUGCUUGAAAUUGU
This 392-nucleotide ribosomal RNA is filed under the name Xanthomonas oryzae pv. oryzae. RNAcentral describes it as "eukaryotic LSU rRNA". It matches the Rfam family "Eukaryotic large subunit ribosomal RNA", at positions 19 to 408 of the family's 3401-position model. The record is from RNAcentral. Lineage: Bacteria; Pseudomonadati; Pseudomonadota; Gammaproteobacteria; Lysobacterales; Lysobacteraceae.